GUGGGGAAUAUUGGACAAUGGGCGAAAGCCUGAUCCAGCCAUGCCGCGUGUGUGAAGAAGGUCUUCGGAUUGUAAAGCACUUUAAGUUGGGAGGAAGGGUAGUAACCUAAUACGUUGCUACUUUGACGUUACCGACAGAAUAAGCACCGGCUAACUUCGUGCCAGCAGCCGCGGUAAUACGAAGGGUGCAAGCGUUAAUCGGAAUUACUGGGCGUAAAGCGCGCGUAGGUGGUUUUGUAAGUUGGAGGUGAAAUCCCCGGGCUCAACCUGGGAACUGCCUCAAAAACUGCAUGACUAGAGUACGGUAGAGGGUAGUGGAAUUUCCUGUGUAGCGGUGAAAUGCGUAGAUAUAGGAAGGAACACCAGUGGCGAAGGCGACUACCUGGACUGAUACUGACACUGAGGUGCGAAAGCGUGGGGAGCAAACAGGAUUAGAAACCCUUGUAGUCC
This 450-nucleotide ribosomal RNA is filed under the name uncultured bacterium. RNAcentral describes it as "bacterial SSU rRNA". It matches the Rfam family "Bacterial small subunit ribosomal RNA", at positions 354 to 796 of the family's 1533-position model. The record is from RNAcentral.